RNAcentral lists this ribosomal RNA (1129 nucleotides) under Enterobacter hormaechei. RNAcentral's name for it is "partial 23S ribosomal RNA". It matches the Rfam family "Bacterial large subunit ribosomal RNA", at positions 563 to 1694 of the family's 2925-position model. Lineage: Bacteria; Pseudomonadati; Pseudomonadota; Gammaproteobacteria; Enterobacterales; Enterobacteriaceae. The record is from RNAcentral.
CGUACAAGCAGUGGGAGCCUCUUUAUGGGGUGACUGCGUACCUUUUGUAUAAUGGGUCAGCGACUUAUAUUCUGUAGCAAGGUUAACCGUAUAGGGGAGCCGAAGGGAAACCGAGUCUUAACUGGGCGUUAAGUUGCAGGGUAUAGACCCGAAACCCGGUGAUCUAGCCAUGGGCAGGUUGAAGGUUGGGUAACACUAACUGGAGGACCGAACCGACUAAUGUUGAAAAAUUAGCGGAUGACCUGUGGCUGGGGGUGAAAGGCCAAUCAAACCGGGAGAUAGCUGGUUCUCCCCGAAAGCUAUUUAGGUAGCGCCUCGUGAACUCAUCUUCGGGGGUAGAGCACUGUUUCGGCUAGGGGGCCAUCCCGGCUUACCAACCCGAUGCAAACUACGAAUACCGAAGAAUGUUAUCACGGGAGACACACGGCGGGUGCUAACGUCCGUCGUGAAGAGGGAAACAACCCAGACCGCCAGCUAAGGUCCCAAAGUCAUGGUUAAGUGGGAAACGAUGUGGGAAGGCACAGACAGCCAGGAUGUUGGCUUAGAAGCAGCCAUCAUUUAAAGAAAGCGUAAUAGCUCACUGGUCGAGUCGGCCUGCGCGGAAGAUGUAACGGGGCUAAACCAUGCACCGAAGCUGCGGCAGCGACACUAUGUGUUGUUGGGUAGGGGAGCGUUCUGUAAGCCGUUGAAGGUGUGCUGUGAGGCAUGCUGGAGGUAUCAGAAGUGCGAAUGCUGACAUAAGUAACGAUAAAGCGGGUGAAAAGCCCGCUCGCCGGAAGACCAAGGGUUCCUGUCCAACGUUAAUCGGGGCAGGGUGAGUCGACCCCUAAGGCGAGGCCGAAAGGCGUAGUCGAUGGGAAACAGGUUAAUAUUCCUGUACUUGGUGUUACUGCGAAGGGGGGACGGAGAAGGCUAUGUCAGCCGGGCGACGGUUGUCCCGGUUUAAGCAUGUAGGCGGAGGUUCCAGGUAAAUCCGGUACCUUUUAACGCUGAGGUGUGAUGACGAGGCACUACGGUGCUGAAGUGAUAAAUGCCCUGCUUCCAGGAAAAGCCUCUAAGCAUCAGGUAACACGAAAUCGUACCCCAAACCGACACAGGUGGUCAGGUAGAGAAUACCAAGGCGCUUGAG